UACGGAGGAUGCAAGCGUUAUCCGGAAUUAUUGGGCGUAAAGCGUCCGUAGGUGGCUAAUCAAGUCUGCUGUCAAAGCGUGGAGCUUAACUCCAUAACGGCAGUGGAAACUGGUGAGCUAGAGUGCGAUAGGGGUAGCAGGAAUUCCCAGUGUAGCGGUGAAAUGCGUAGAGAUUGGGAAGAACACCAGCGGCGAAGGCGUGCUACUGGGUCUGCACUGACACUGAGGGACGAAAGCUAGGGGAGCGAACAGG
Molecule: ribosomal RNA, 253 nt
Filed under: uncultured bacterium
Lineage: Bacteria
Description: partial 16S ribosomal RNA
Rfam family: Bacterial small subunit ribosomal RNA
Source: RNAcentral